RNAcentral lists this ribosomal RNA (484 nucleotides) under uncultured bacterium. Its description in RNAcentral is "partial 16S ribosomal RNA". It matches the Rfam family "Bacterial small subunit ribosomal RNA", at positions 30 to 507 of the family's 1533-position model. The record is from RNAcentral.
AUUGAACGCUGGCGGCAGGCCUAACACAUGCAAGUCGAGCGGAUGAAGGGAGCUUGCUCCUGGAUUCAGCGGCGGACGGGUGAGUAAUGCCUAGGAAUCUGCCUGGUAGUGGGGGAUAACGUCCGGAAACGGGCGCUAAUACCGCAUACGUCCUGAGGGAGAAAGUGGGGGAUCUUCGGACCUCACGCUAUCAGAUGAGCCUAGGUCGGAUUAGCUAGUUGGUGGGGUAAAGGCCUACCAAGGCGACGAUCCGUAACUGGUCUGAGAGGAUGAUCAGUCACACUGGAACUGAGACACGGUCCAGACUCCUACGGGAGGCAGCAGUGGGGAAUGUUGGACAAUGGGCGAAAACCUGAUCCAGCGAGGCCGCGUGUGUGAAGAAGGUCUUCGGAUUGUAAAGCACUUUAAGUUGGGAGAAAGGGCAGUAAGUUAAUACCUUGCUGUUUUGACGUUACCAACAGAAUAAGCACCGGCUAACUUCGUG